GUACCAAGAGUGAGUUCAGCGCUGUACAAGACACGGGGGAAAACAAGGGAUCUGGCUGAUGGCCUGAGAAGGCUAAUACUUCCUGCAGUGGACAUGAGAACAUUUCCAAGUGCAUCCAGGGUGCCUAAAUGCCAGAGGUUUCUUAUUUGGCAGACAACUUUCUGUAUCUUCAUAUUUAUUAAUAUGGGACAGCAAUCAAAAUUGAAGAAGAGACACUGGAGAAUGUGGACAAUUUUGAGCAUCUUGGAAGUACCAUCAGCCAAGAUAGUACUAGUUUCAAGGAAGAAAUAAGAAGAAUUGGGAAGGCAAAUGCUGCAUUUGGAAGACUCAAAAAUAUCUGGCAACUCAAAAACAUCUCCCUCAAAACAAAACUGAAUGUGUACAAAGCAACUGUUAUUGCCAUCCCAACAUAUAGUAGUGAGACAUGGCAACUUACCAAGAAAGAUAUGCAAAAGCUGGAUGCAUUUCAUCACAAAUGUCUGAGAAGAUAUUGGGAAUAACAUAUAGAGAUAGGAAGAUGAAUGAAGAAGUCAGAAAAAUUACUGGACAAGGCACCCUCUCACAAAUAAUCUACAAAAGAAGAUAUCAGUGGCUGGGACAUGUGCUGAGAGUGGAAAAAGAAUGCUUACUAAAUACCACCCUUGAAUGGAGGUCAGAAAAUGCAAGAAGAAAGAGAGGAAAACCAUGAAUAACAUGGAAACGAACAGUUCUGAAUGACAUCAAGCACCUCAACAUGAGAUGGGAAGAUUUGGAGAGAAGGGCAGUUGACAGGCAAGGAUGGCAAAUGUGGAUAGCCCAGUGUGCAGCAAAGCACAGGAUAGACUGAGGUCUAAGUCGACUUAAGUCUAUGAAAGUUCUGUAUACCCUUUUAGAUGACCGAUAUUACCAUCUAGUUAAGAUAGUGUCCUGUCAGCUAUUUUGUUAAAAAUUACUUGAAUGCCUAAUUUCAGUUUUUAUUUAGACCUUUACCUUUAAGAUAUUUUUGUACUCCAACAAUAGUUAUUUUUUCCUGUAAUUCCAAAAAUGGCAAACCAUUUCCCGUGUGCGCGCACAUACGAAAGGAAAAAUGUGUUGCUUUGGUGGUAUCUAUACAUGGAAAGUUUGAAUAUUUUUUAAAAAAAAAAAAGAUUGUUCAAAUGUGUAAGUUUUACAUACUCUUCUUAAUCAUGGAUUUGCUUUGGAAAGUGACUAUGUAAAAAGGUAUCUUGGGCUUCUACAUUUAGUGUUUCUUAAUGAUGAUUUACAGAAGAAAUUGACACCGUGUACAAGUAAAAAAUGUUUCUUCUAAUUGCCAGCCCUGCUGACUCGCAUGGGAUCUGAGAAUUAAGGUGGGUUCUUUAUUUGUCAUG
Molecule: long non-coding RNA, 1349 nt
Organism: Malaclemys terrapin pileata
Lineage: Eukaryota; Metazoa; Chordata; Testudines; Emydidae
Exons: 3
Source: RefSeq, a predicted model, not a curated record